Molecule: ribosomal RNA, 2783 nt
Filed under: Enterobacter asburiae
Lineage: Bacteria; Pseudomonadati; Pseudomonadota; Gammaproteobacteria; Enterobacterales; Enterobacteriaceae
Also listed under: 1 other name
Description: bacterial LSU rRNA
Rfam family: Bacterial large subunit ribosomal RNA
Source: RNAcentral
GGGUUGUGAGGUUAAGCGACUAAGCGUACACGGUGGAUGCCCUGGCAGUCAGAGGCGAUGAAGGACGUGCUAAUCUGCGAAAAGCGCCGGCGAGGUGAUAUGAACCUUUGACCCGGCGAUGUCCGAAUGGGGAAACCCAGUGCAAUUCGUUGCACUAUCGUUAACUGAAUACAUAGGUUAACGAGGCGAACCGGGGGAACUGAAACAUCUAAGUACCCCGAGGAAAAGAAAUCAACCGAGAUUCCCCCAGUAGCGGCGAGCGAACGGGGAGCAGCCCAGAGUCUGAAUCAGCUUGUGUGUUAGUGGAAGCGUCUGGAAAGUCGCACGGUACAGGGUGACAGUCCCGUACACGAAAGCACACAGGCUGUGAACUCGAAGAGUAGGGCGGGACACGUGGUAUCCUGUCUGAAUAUGGGGGGACCAUCCUCCAAGGCUAAAUACUCCUGACUGACCGAUAGUGAACCAGUACCGUGAGGGAAAGGCGAAAAGAACCCCGGCGAGGGGAGUGAAAAAGAACCUGAAACCGUGUACGUACAAGCAGUGGGAGCACCUUCGUGGUGUGACUGCGUACCUUUUGUAUAAUGGGUCAGCGACUUAUAUUCUGUAGCAAGGUUAACCGUAUAGGGGAGCCGAAGGGAAACCGAGUCUUAACUGGGCGUUAAGUUGCAGGGUAUAGACCCGAAACCCGGUGAUCUAGCCAUGGGCAGGUUGAAGGUUGGGUAACACUAACUGGAGGACCGAACCGACUAAUGUUGAAAAAUUAGCGGAUGACUUGUGGCUGGGGGUGAAAGGCCAAUCAAACCGGGAGAUAGCUGGUUCUCCCCGAAAGCUAUUUAGGUAGCGCCUCGUGAACUCAUCUUCGGGGGUAGAGCACUGUUUCGGCUAGGGGGCCAUCCCGGCUUACCAACCCGAUGCAAACUACGAAUACCGAAGAAUGUUAUCACGGGAGACACACGGCGGGUGCUAACGUCCGUCGUGAAGAGGGAAACAACCCAGACCGCCAGCUAAGGUCCCAAAGUCAUGGUUAAGUGGGAAACGAUGUGGGAAGGCACAGACAGCCAGGAUGUUGGCUUAGAAGCAGCCAUCAUUUAAAGAAAGCGUAAUAGCUCACUGGUCGAGUCGGCCUGCGCGGAAGAUGUAACGGGGCUAAACCAUGCACCGAAGCUGCGGCAGCGACACUAUGUGUUGUUGGGUAGGGGAGCGUUCUGUAAGCCGUUGAAGGUGUGCUGUGAGGCAUGCUGGAGGUAUCAGAAGUGCGAAUGCUGACAUAAGUAACGAUAAAGCGGGUGAAAAGCCCGCUCGCCGGAAGACCAAGGGUUCCUGUCCAACGUUAAUCGGGGCAGGGUGAGUCGACCCCUAAGGCGAGGCCGAAAGGCGUAGUCGAUGGGAAACAGGUUAAUAUUCCUGUACUUGGUGUUACUGCGAAGGGGGGACGGAGAAGGCUAUGUUAGCCGGGCGACGGUUGUCCCGGUUUAAGCAUGUAGGCGGAGGUUCCAGGUAAAUCCGGUACCUUUUAACGCUGAGGUGUGAUGACGAGGCACUACGGUGCUGAAGUAACAAAUGCCCUGCUUCCAGGAAAAGCCUCUAAGCAUCAGGUAACAUCAAAUCGUACCCCAAACCGACACAGGUGGUCAGGUAGAGAAUACCAAGGCGCUUGAGAGAACUCGGGUGAAGGAACUAGGCAAAAUGGUGCCGUAACUUCGGGAGAAGGCACGCUGAUAUGUAGGUGAAGCCCCUGCGGGUGGAGCUGAAAUCAGUCGAAGAUACCAGCUGGCUGCAACUGUUUAUUAAAAACACAGCACUGUGCAAACACGAAAGUGGACGUAUACGGUGUGACGCCUGCCCGGUGCCGGAAGGUUAAUUGAUGGGGUUAGCGGCAACGCGAAGCUCUUGAUCGAAGCCCCGGUAAACGGCGGCCGUAACUAUAACGGUCCUAAGGUAGCGAAAUUCCUUGUCGGGUAAGUUCCGACCUGCACGAAUGGCGUAAUGAUGGCCAGGCUGUCUCCACCCGAGACUCAGUGAAAUUGAACUCGCUGUGAAGAUGCAGUGUACCCGCGGCAAGACGGAAAGACCCCGUGAACCUUUACUAUAGCUUGACACUGAACACUGGUCCUUGAUGUGUAGGAUAGGUGGGAGGCUUUGAAGCGUGGACGCCAGUCUGCGUGGAGCCAUCCUUGAAAUACCACCCUUUAAUGGCUGGUGUUCUAACGUAGACCCGUAAUCCGGGUUGCGGACAGUGUCUGGUGGGUAGUUUGACUGGGGCGGUCUCCUCCCAAAGAGUAACGGAGGAGCACGAAGGUUAGCUAAUCCUGGUCGGACAUCAGGAGGUUAGUGCAAUGGCAUAAGCUAGCUUGACUGCGAGAGUGACGGCUCGAGCAGGUGCGAAAGCAGGUCAUAGUGAUCCGGUGGUUCUGAAUGGAAGGGCCAUCGCUCAACGGAUAAAAGGUACUCCGGGGAUAACAGGCUGAUACCGCCCAAGAGUUCAUAUCGACGGCGGUGUUUGGCACCUCGAUGUCGGCUCAUCACAUCCUGGGGCUGAAGUAGGUCCCAAGGGUAUGGCUGUUCGCCAUUUAAAGUGGUACGCGAGCUGGGUUUAGAACGUCGUGAGACAGUUCGGUCCCUAUCUGCCGUGGGCGCUGGAGAAUUGAGGGGGGCUGCUCCUAGUACGAGAGGACCGGAGUGGACGCAUCACUGGUGUUCGGGUUGUCAUGCCAAUGGCACUGCCCGGUAGCUAAAUGCGGAAAAGAUAAGUGCUGAAAGCAUCUAAGCACGAAACUUGCCCC